RNAcentral lists this unclassified non-coding RNA (283 nucleotides) under plant metagenome. RNAcentral describes it as "partial contains small subunit ribosomal RNA, internal transcribed spacer 1, and 5.8S ribosomal RNA". The stretch from base 235 to 283 matches the Rfam family "5.8S ribosomal RNA", at positions 1 to 49 of the family's 154-position model. The record is from RNAcentral.
UUUCCGUAGGUGAACCUGCGGAAGGAUCAUUAUUGUAUAACCGAGGUGCGAGGGCUGUCGCUGACCCGAAAGGUCGUGCACGCCCGAGUGCCCUCACACACAUCCAUCUCACCCCUAAGUGCACCACCGCGUGGGUCCCCCUUUGGCUUGUUCGGAGGGGGGCUUACGUUUUCACACAAACUUUGUAUGCAGUGUAGAAUGUAUUUUUUGUUUUUGCGAUCACGCAAUCAAUACAACUUUCAACAACGGAUCUCUUGGCUCUCGCAUCGACGAAGAACGCAGC